This 661-nucleotide ribosomal RNA is filed under the name uncultured Bacilli bacterium. RNAcentral's name for it is "bacterial SSU rRNA". It matches the Rfam family "Bacterial small subunit ribosomal RNA", at positions 80 to 730 of the family's 1533-position model. Lineage: Bacteria; Bacillati; Bacillota; Bacilli. The record is from RNAcentral.
CUAGAGUAGAAGGAGUUGCGAACGGGUGAGUAACGCGUAGGUAACCUGCCUACUAGCGGGGGAUAACUAUUGGAAACGAUAGCUAAUACCGCAUAACAGUGUUUAACACAUGUUAGAUGCUUGAAAGAUGCAAUUGCAUCACUAGUAGAUGGACCUGCGUUGUAUUAGCUAGUUGGUGGGGUAACGGCCCACCAAGGCGACGAUACAUAGCCGACCUGAGAGGGUGAUCGGCCACACUGGGACUGAGACACGGCCCAGACUCCUACGGGAGGCAGCAGUAGGGAAUCUUCGGCAAUGGGGGCAACCCUGACCGAGCAACGCCGCGUGAGUGAAGAAGGUUUUCGGAUCGUAAAGCUCUGUUGUAAGAGAAGAACGUGUGUGAGAGUGGAAAGUUCACACAGUGACGGUAACUUACCAGAAAGGGACGGCUAACUACGUGCCAGCAGCCGCGGUAAUACGUAGGUCCCGAGCGUUGUCCGGAUUUAUUGGGCGUAAAGCGAGCGCAGGCGGUUUAAUAAGUCUGAAGUUAAAGGCAGUGGCUUAACCAUUGUUCGCUUUGGGAACUGUUAAACUUGAGUGCAGAAGGGGAGAGUGGAAUUCCAUGUGUAGCGGUGAAAUGCGUAGAUAUAUGGAGGAACACCGGUGGCGAAAGCGGCUCUCU